CUAUAAGAAUGUCACUGAUUGAAAAUUGAGACUAAUUUCAAGAUUUUGUUUUACGAUUUUAAUAUAUUUUUUUUUUUUAUCUGACCACGUUUUAAUUACGAUUAAAACAGUAAUUAUUUUUUGUUGGUUAACAUAUAAUUUUUACUACACAAAUAAGUGUUAGGUACCCUGUGAUAUAGGUAUUUUACUGAAAUAAUGUAUCGAUCAAUACUCAAAUCAAUAUAAUAGUGUUUUAACUACUUUUUGUAAAUGAAAAUUAUUUAAGUUUGUUAAUUAUGUAUAUUUUUUAUGACAAAUUUAGUUUGAGUUUUACAAAACGGCGCGCAUAUACGCAAGUAAAUAGAUGACAAUGCAGUACCUAUUUAUAAUGUUAUACUUAUCUGACGAUGAAAGAAGAACAGAAGGUGGAUAGCCUUGGCCUAUAAACUACAAAAUGAUAAAUUAUAAUGUAUUUGAUUUUAUUUUAAAAAUAAAUU
RNAcentral lists this unclassified non-coding RNA (476 nucleotides) under Melitaea cinxia (Glanville fritillary). RNAcentral describes it as "misc RNA ENSMCXG00005000173.1". The record is from RNAcentral. Lineage: Eukaryota; Metazoa; Arthropoda; Insecta; Lepidoptera; Nymphalidae.